UGAAGCUGGAAUCGCUAGUAAUCGCGGAUCAGAAUGCCGCGGUGAAUACGUUCCCGGGUCUUGUACACACCGCCCGUCACACCAUGGGAGUCGGAAAUGCCCGAAGUCGGUGACCUAACUGAAAGGAAGGAGCCGCCGAAGGCAGGUCUGGUGACUGGGUGAAGUCGUAACAAGGUAUC
RNAcentral lists this ribosomal RNA (179 nucleotides) under uncultured bacterium. RNAcentral's name for it is "partial 16S ribosomal RNA". It matches the Rfam family "Bacterial small subunit ribosomal RNA", at positions 1321 to 1500 of the family's 1533-position model. The record is from RNAcentral.